This 549-nucleotide ribosomal RNA is filed under the name uncultured Glomus. RNAcentral describes it as "SSU rRNA". It matches the Rfam family "Eukaryotic small subunit ribosomal RNA", at positions 548 to 1098 of the family's 1831-position model. The record is from RNAcentral. Lineage: Eukaryota; Fungi; Glomeromycota; Glomeromycetes; Glomerales; Glomeraceae.
UUGGAGGGCAAGUCUGGUGCCAGCAGCCGCGGUAAUUCCAGCUCCAAUAGCGUAUAUUAAAGUUGUUGCAGUUAAAAAGCUCGUAGUUGAAUUUCGGGGUUAGUAGGCUGGUCGUGCCAUAGGUAUGCACUGGUCUUACUGAUUCCUCCUUCCUGAUGAACCGUAAUGCCAUUAAUUUGGUGUUGCGGGGAGUCUGGACUGUUACUUUGAAAAAAUUAGAGUGUUUAAAGCAGGCUAACGCUUGAAUACAUUAGCAUGGAAUAACGAAAUAGGACGUUCGAUCUUAUUUUGUUGGUUUCUAGGAUUGACGUAAUGAUUAAUAGGGAUAGUUGGGGGCAUUAGUAUUCAAUUGUCAGAGGUGAAAUUCUUGGAUUUAUUGAAGACUAACUACUGCGAAAGCAUUUGCCAAGGAUGUUUUCAUUAAUCAAGAACGAAAGUUAGGGGAUCGAAGACGAUCAGAUACCGUCGUAGUCUUAACCAUAAACUAUGCCGACUAGGGAUCGGAUGAUGUUAAUUUUUUAAUGACUCAUUCGGCGCCUUACGGGAAAC